CGCACAUUGCGCCCCUUGGUAUUCCGGGGGGCAUGCCUGUCCGAGCGUCAUUCGCUCCAUCAGCCAGGUCUGGUCUUGGGUGUCGGGACUCGUCCCGCGCCUCAAAGUCUUCGGUAGGAUCGUACCGCACCCUAGCGCCGUGGACACGUCAAAGUGCUCGCUAGUAGGGAGGUGGAUGCUUACCGCGAAACCCCUUUGAAUUAGGUGGACCUCGGAUCAGGUAGGGAUACCCGCUGAACUUAA
Molecule: unclassified non-coding RNA, 243 nt
Filed under: Dothideomycetes sp.
Lineage: Eukaryota; Fungi; Ascomycota; Dothideomycetes
Description: partial contains 5.8S ribosomal RNA, internal transcribed spacer 2, and large subunit ribosomal RNA
Source: RNAcentral